AUAGCAAAGCAGGUUUUUUUCGGUUUCCAGACCAGGCACAACUUAGAUCUGCAUCCUACUACGUGGGAGAUAGAAGUCCGGCAGGUGGAGGCAGCAGCCUAUGUGGAAAUCUGGGUUGUAAAGCCACGCCCUGCCAGCCAGACCCUAAACCUGGCCAGUGUCCACCAGGACUGGGCUCGACCUCUAGCACACUGAUAACCUGCUCUCCCCUGCCCAACAGGGAUGCUCUCCUCAACAGCAAGGGGGCUCUAUGAGGAAGGGUGGCCCAGUUGUCUCCCAUGGCCCUUGCCCCAGCUCCGCCCCAUCUAGGGGUAGACAGUGUGUGACAGCUACGGUCCUUCUGGCACGAAGCUCCCCAGUGGCACAGAGUACCCACUCCCCACCGACCCUCCAGACCCCUUGCUGCUCUCCAUGCUCUGAGUGGUCACCUCCAGCAGACCCCUCACUCCAAAACCCGGGAUCCAAACAGGAUGCGCUGCCAACUCAGCCUGCUCUGAUGACUUGGCUCACGGUACAUGGAAGAAAUCCCUACCUGACCCGUCGAUCGGCCCGAAACUUCAACAUCUUUUUGGCAGCUCUGUCCCCAGUGCGGCAGCCUCAGAGGACCCACCGGCCACCCUGCUCCUACCAUCCCUCUGAGAACCAGCAAGCUCCCAGCCGAGACCCGCUGCACUCUGGGAGGAUUUCGCCUGCUGACAGCGGAGGCAAAGGUGGGGAGAGGCUUGGCUCCCGCUCUCCCGUUUCCCCCUCUGGAUCACAUCAUUCUGUUCAAGGGGCCUUAUCUGCUCCUGCAUUCUUCCCAAUUAAAAACCAACUCGGUUUACAUUUCCCACAAUCCUGGCGUGUCUGAUUCCUGAAACUCCCCCCAGGUCAUCUCUAGGAUAAAACACUACUCCCCCAGCCAACUUCUCCCCUCCAGUCCUGCUGUUUUCCUGCCUAUUGCUGCCACACACAGAGACCGAACUGGGUCAGGCCCUGCAGCACCUUCAGGUAUUUGCAGGUGGAGAGUCGGCUCCCGGAAGGAGCCCCCCGAACGACACUGCCUCUUUCCACGUCUGCCUACAGAGCACAACUCCACUCGUGCAGGCCCCUGGGAAGAGUUCCCAGGCCCCGCUGCUCCACUGGCAAGCGGCUCUCGCCCCGUCUUGAACCCAGUUCCCUUCUCUCCUCUCUGCCCCCUUCUUUUCUGCCGUUGCCCCACUCUUCUUCCUAUGUCACAGUUAUUUCCAGAAUGGCAAGAAGAGGGUGCCCACCCCCAAGCAAGCUGGGAACACCCCAAAAUGCUGAGCUUCUGGGCUGAGUGUCUAGGAGACGAGGCUGCUCCCCUGCCUGCUUUACCCUGCCUCCCCUCCCCUCUCACUCCCACCGCAGAGUGUCAAUCACACUUUCCUCACCCUCACGGCCAGUUAGGGAAUGCUGGGGGAGUUUCACCCUGAGCUCAGCCCCUGCCUAGGACAGAAAGCAGAAGCGCAGGCUCGGGGCCAAGGGUGGAAAUCACGAACCAGGGGCCCCGUGCAGCGUUCCUCCCCUGUGCUCCAGGCAGCGGUCCUGCCCCAGGCUCUCACUGCGCCACCUCCAGCUCCUGGCCGGGCCCAGCCUUCCUCUUACUCCCAUGAGAGGAAAGCCUAGAACAGCAGGUAAGGGUAGGAGGGGCUGAGGGCUCUUCAGUCAGGGCAAUGGGCUCACGUCUAAGUGUGUGUGUGUGUGUGUGAGAGAGACUUCUCCCACUAGUGAAACUUUGUGUGGAAUCCAUGCUCACCUUCUACUCUAGCUUGNNNNNNNNNNNNNNNNNNNNNNNNNNNNNNNNNNNNNNNNNNNNNNNNNNGUAGGUGGUCAAGAGCGGCUCCACCAAGCCUCUGUCUGUGCCCUCCCCCAGCUCCCUGGCCCGUCCCCAGGACCCCCCCCCCACCUCUCCAUGAUCCAGCCACUGGGCCCCACGGUGUCCUCUGGGGUUGAUAAGUGAUUGAAUAUUAUUCCUGGGCAUAGCCAUACCUGUACUGUUGGAACGCUGAAGUCCCAUUCCAAGUGCUAAGAACUGU
Molecule: long non-coding RNA, 2039 nt
Organism: Dasypus novemcinctus (nine-banded armadillo)
Lineage: Eukaryota; Metazoa; Chordata; Mammalia; Cingulata; Dasypodidae
Source: Ensembl